Molecule: ribosomal RNA, 253 nt
Filed under: uncultured bacterium
Lineage: Bacteria
Description: partial 16S ribosomal RNA
Rfam family: Bacterial small subunit ribosomal RNA
Source: RNAcentral
UACAGAGGUCUCAAGCGUUGUUCGGAUUCAUUGGGCGUAAAGGGUGCGUAGGUGGCGCCGUAAGUCAGGUGUGAAAUCUCGGGGCUCAACCCCGAAACUGCACUUGAUACUGCGGUGCUCGAGUACUGGAGAGGAGAUUGGAAUUUACGGUGUAGCAGUGAAAUGCGUAGAUAUCGUAAGGAAGACCAGUGGCGAAGGCGGCUCACUGGCCCGGUACUGACGCUGAGGUGCGAAAGCGUGGGGAGCAAACAGG